CACGUAGGGUGCGAGCGUUGUCCGGAAUUAUUGGGCGUAAAGAGCUCGUAGGUGGUUUGUCGCGUUGUCCGUGAAAACUCACAGCUCAACUGUGGGCGUGCGGGCGAUACGGGCAGACUUGAGUACUGCAGGGGAGACUGGAAUUCCUGGUGUAGCGGUGGAAUGCGCAGAUAUCAGGAGGAACACCGGUGGCGAAGGCGGGUCUCUGGGCAGUAACUGACGCUGAGGAGCGAAAGCGUGGGGAGCGAACAGG
RNAcentral lists this ribosomal RNA (253 nucleotides) under uncultured bacterium. RNAcentral's name for it is "partial 16S ribosomal RNA". It matches the Rfam family "Bacterial small subunit ribosomal RNA", at positions 524 to 776 of the family's 1533-position model. The record is from RNAcentral.